This 253-nucleotide ribosomal RNA is filed under the name uncultured bacterium. Its description in RNAcentral is "partial 16S ribosomal RNA". It matches the Rfam family "Bacterial small subunit ribosomal RNA", at positions 524 to 776 of the family's 1533-position model. The record is from RNAcentral.
UACGGAGGGUGCAAUCAUUGAUCGGAUUUACUGGGCGUAAAGGGCGCGCAGGCGGUCGGAUAAGUCAGAUGUGAAAUUCCGGGGCUCAACCUCGGAGCUGCAUUUGAAACUAUCAGACUAGAGUACAGUUAGGGAAAAUGGAAUUCCACGUGUAGCGGUGAAAUGCGUAGAUAUGUGGAAGAACACCGGUGGUGAAGACGAUUUUCUGGGCUGUAACUGACGCUGAGGCGCGAAAGCUAGGGGAGAAAACAGG